CACAGGUGACAUUCCAAGGAAAUGUCCCAGAUUUGCAGUCUGAUGGCGAACUGUCAUCCACACUACCAGAUGAAGAUCGAGACACCGGAAAUAAAAAUGAGGAAUUGCUCCCAGUACCUGGAAUUGUUCUUGCGCAAGCAGAGGAAGGACAGGAAGUACUGGUGGCCAAAAGACAAGUGAACACGGAAGAGGAGGAGAAGGUAGAAGAUGAAGAAGAAGAGGAAAAGAG
Non-coding RNA from Pocillopora verrucosa, 229 nucleotides. The record is from RefSeq and is a predicted model, not a curated record. NCBI's taxonomy places the organism in Eukaryota, Metazoa, Cnidaria, Anthozoa, Scleractinia, Pocilloporidae.